GUGCCAGCAGCCGCGGUAAUACGAAGGGGGCUAGCGUUGCUCGGAAUUACUGGGCGUAAAGGGCGCGUAGGCGGCUCUGUUAGUCAGGCGUGAAAGCCCUGGGCUCAACCUGGGGACUGCGCUUGAUACGGCAGGGCUUGAGGGCAGAAGAGGCUCGCGGAAUUCCCAGUGUAGAGGUGAAAUUCGUAGAUAUUGGGAAGAACACCGGUGGCGAAGGCGGCGAGCUGGUCUGUCUCUGACGCUGAGGCGCGAUAGCGUGGGGAGCAAACAGGAUUAGAUACCCUGGUAGUCC
This 292-nucleotide ribosomal RNA is filed under the name uncultured bacterium. Its description in RNAcentral is "partial 16S ribosomal RNA". It matches the Rfam family "Bacterial small subunit ribosomal RNA", at positions 505 to 796 of the family's 1533-position model. The record is from RNAcentral.